CCUACGGGAGGCAGCAGUGGGGAAUAUUGGACAAUGGGGGGAACCCUGAUCCAGCCAUGCCGCGUGUGUGAAGAAGGCCCUCGGGUUGUAAAGCACUUUCAGUGAGGAAGAACGCCUGGUGGUUAAUACCCAUCAGGAAAGACAUCACUCACGGAAGAAGCACCGGCUAACUCCGUGCCAGCAGCCGCGGUAAUACGGAGGGUGCGAGCGUUAAUCGGAAUUACUGGGCGUAAAGCGCGCGUAGGUGGCUUGAUAAGCCGGUUGUGAAAGCCCCGGGCUCAACCUGGGAACGGCAUCCGGAACUGUCAAGCUAGAGUGCAGGAGAGGAAGGUAGAAUUCCCGGUGUAGCGGUGAAAUGCGUAGAGAUCGGGAGGAAUACCAGUGGCGAAGGCGGCCUUCUGGACUGACACUGACACUGAGGUGCGAAAGCGUGGGUAGCAAACAGGAUUAGAUACCCGUGUAGUC
Molecule: ribosomal RNA, 465 nt
Filed under: Vreelandella stevensii
Lineage: Bacteria; Pseudomonadati; Pseudomonadota; Gammaproteobacteria; Oceanospirillales; Halomonadaceae
Description: partial 16S ribosomal RNA
Rfam family: Bacterial small subunit ribosomal RNA
Source: RNAcentral